CCUACGGGGGGCAGCAGUGAGGAAUAUUGGUCAAUGGGCUUACGCCUGAACCAGCCAAGUCGCGUGAGGGAAGACUGCCCUAUGGGUUGUAAACCUCUUUUAUAAAGGAAUAAAACGAGGCACGUGUGCCUUUUUGCAUGUACUUUAUGAAUAAGGAUCGGCUAACUCCGUGCCAGCAGCCGCGGUAAUACGGAGGAUCCGAGCGUUAUCCGGAUUUAUUGGGUUUAAAGGGAGCGUAGAUGGGUUGUUAAGUCAGUUGUGAAAGUUUGCGGUUCAACCGUAAAAUUGCAAUUGAUACUGGCAGUCUUGAGUACAGUUGAGGUAGGCGGAAUUCGUGGUGUAGCGGUGAAAUGCUUAGAUAUCACGAAGAACCCCGAUUGCGAAGGCAGCUUACUAAACUGUGACUGACAUUGAUGCUCGAAAGUGUGGGUAUCAAACAGGAUUAGAUACCCCUGUAGUC
Molecule: ribosomal RNA, 460 nt
Filed under: uncultured bacterium
Lineage: Bacteria
Description: partial 16S ribosomal RNA
Rfam family: Bacterial small subunit ribosomal RNA
Source: RNAcentral